AGGACGAACGCUGGCGGCGUGCUUAACACAUGCAAGUGGAGCGACGAACCAGGGCUUGCCCUGGGGCAGAGCCGCGAACGGGUGAGUAACACGUGGGUAACGUGCCCCGAUGACUGGGACAACCCGGGGAAACCCGGGCUAAUACCGGAUAUGCCCCCUCACGCGAGUGAGGUGUGUAAAGGAAGCUUCGGCCUCCGCAUCGGGAUCGGCCCGCGGCCCAUUAGCUUGUUGGUGAGGUAACGGCUCACCAAGGCUGCGAUGGGUAGCUGGUCUGAGAGGACGAUCAGCCACACUGGGACUGAGACACGGCCCAGACUCCUACGGGAGGCAGCAGUGGGGAAUCUUGCGCAAUGCGCGAAAAGCGUGACGCAGCAACGCCGCGUGGGGGAAGAAGGCCUGGUUGUAAACCCUUUACACGUUGGACGAAGUGUGGGCGGUGAAUAGCCGUUCUGUCAUGACGGUACCUUCACAAGAAGACCCGGCUAACUACGUAGCCAGCAGCCGCGGUAA
This 510-nucleotide ribosomal RNA is filed under the name uncultured soil bacterium. RNAcentral describes it as "bacterial SSU rRNA". It matches the Rfam family "Bacterial small subunit ribosomal RNA", at positions 26 to 523 of the family's 1533-position model. The record is from RNAcentral.